AAGCGAAACGCCCGUUUGGGCGUCUGCCUAGCGUGGUUGUUAGGCACUGAUGAGCAGCCAAGA
RNAcentral lists this non-coding RNA (63 nucleotides) under Idiomarina loihiensis. RNAcentral also lists the same sequence under 3 other names. Lineage: Bacteria; Pseudomonadati; Pseudomonadota; Gammaproteobacteria; Alteromonadales; Idiomarinaceae. The record is from RNAcentral.